Molecule: ribosomal RNA, 366 nt
Filed under: uncultured Ochrobactrum sp.
Lineage: Bacteria; Pseudomonadati; Pseudomonadota; Alphaproteobacteria; Hyphomicrobiales; Brucellaceae
Description: bacterial SSU rRNA
Rfam family: Bacterial small subunit ribosomal RNA
Source: RNAcentral
UACUUCUUCGGACAAUAUACAAGGUGCUGCAUGGUUGUCGUCAGCUCGUGCCGUGAGGUGUCGGGUUAAGUCCCAUAACGAGCGCAACCCUCGCCCUUAGUUGCCAGCAUUUAGUUGGGCACUCUAAGGGGACUGCCGGUGAUAAGCCGAGAGGAAGGUGGGGAUGACGUCAAGUCCUCAUGGCCCUUACGGGCUGGGCUACACACGUGCUACAAUGGUGGUGACAGUGGGCAGCGAGCACGCGAGUGUGAGCUAAUCUCCAAAAGCCAUCUCAGUUCGGAUUGCACUCUGCAACUCGAGUGCAUGAAGUUGGAAUCGCUAGUAAUCGCGGAUCAGCAUGCCGCGGUGAAUACGUUCCCGGGCCUU